Gallus gallus (chicken) is the source of this 8322-nucleotide long non-coding RNA. The record is from Ensembl. NCBI's taxonomy places the organism in Eukaryota, Metazoa, Chordata, Aves, Galliformes, Phasianidae.
CGCGCGGACGGUUCGCCGCCGCCGCCGGGGAGCGCCGGAGACCCCCCCGGGCCGCUACUGCGUCACGUCCCCCCCGCUCCUCCGUGAGGACGUCGGCACCGGGCCGGAGUGCCGCUACCGGUGACGGAUAUCCCGGGUCCGUUGCCCGCUCGAAGCAGAAAGCAGCGACGCGGGAACUGGCGUGCGCUUGGUUUGCUCUCUCGAGUUGCAAAAUCCAGGGAAAUUGUGUUUUCGUGUGUAGCGGCCGUGAGUAACUUUGACCGAAGCAUCCUUCCUUCCUGCCCGUUCUGAAGGAAGGAAUCUCUCCCUUGCCUUUGGUCUCCGUGCUGACGGGAACUCAUACGGGCUUGGUUACUUCAGCCGCUGCUAGGGGAGAGGGGGCCGUGCCGGAGCGGCUGUCACACGGCGUGCUGGUAUGGCUGCUUUGUUCAGUGACACGGGGAUGUUCUUCACCUGCCCUCGGUUGGCUGAGGGGAGCCUUCAUGGCGGCUGCAGCUCCUCACAGAGAGCGGAGGGGCAGCGCUGAGCUCUGCUCUGUGUGACAGCGACAGGGCCCGAGGGAACGGCAUGGAGCUGUGUCAGGGGAGGGGCAGCUGGGGGUCAGGGACAGGGUCUGCACCUGAGGGCGGUGGGCUUUGAAUGGGCUGCCCAGAGCUGUGGGCACAGCCCUGAGCUGCCGGAGUUCAGUGAGCAUUUAACAUCACUCUCAGACGUAAGGUCUGAUCCGUAUGAGUCUCUUCCAGCUUGGAAUAUUCUGUGAUUCACCCUUGAAUUCAAGGUGUUGAACAACCCUGAACCAUGUGCUCCACUGGCAGUGAAGUGCCUCACGCUGACACGGCUUGUUCUUCCUGAGACAAGCUAACGUUACCUCAUGCGUAUAACUUUUUAUAUUGAUAUAAGCAUAUCUGUACCAGGAAAGCUCAGUGAAUUAACUUUACUACUUCUGGCUACAGAUCGCAUAAAAAUAAAUCGUUUCCAUUACUCGUCCUGACAUAGGUAACUCAAAUGUAGUGCUCUUUUGGAAACAAAGCACGCAGUGAAAUUGAAACAGCUUUACUAUGUGAGAAAGUCCUUGUUUGCUUAUAUAUUCAACUGGAACACAUACAUCACAUAUAGAGCUACAUAGUAAUCAAAUUGAAGUACAUAUACAUAAAAAUAAUAUAUGCCUGAAAAAGUGUAUAUUAUGCACGUUUCCGUGUCAAGCCCUAUAUAAACCAUUAGGUUCCAGAAGUGUCUAUUAUGUAAGUAGCUUACAUAAAUAAUCUAAUUGGUGACACACCUAAUACCUGGCAAUGUGUUCUGUUGAAUAGAAGUCCAAAAUUUAUUUAGAAGAUGAAUUAAAAGAAUGUAUCUAAAAGCUGCAAUUCAUGGGUCAGAGUUAAGAUUGUCUGUGUUUUUUUUUUAAUCCACUAUAGAGGGGACUUUCCCUUCCUAAGUGGCUGUUCAUAUUCCUUUGCUCGAGCCCCACAUGAACACAGAUUUCAGCACCAUCCAAUAAUAAUCUGAAAAUUGCCUUCAUGGGUGAAGAUUGCUUUGAGUGGCAUUACUGGAAGUUACCCAUAGCCCUGCCUUAAUCUGGUCUGGGAAGACUUCCUAAAAAAUCAUUUCCAUAUCCAGCCUAUCAGCUAGAGUAAGGAUAUGUAUCCAAAUGAUCAGAGUAAUUCUUGCCCAUGCCUGGUUUGGAUGAGGAGUACAUACAUGAGGACUUCAAGAUGGCUGAUGGUGCCUUUUACUGGGCAAAUGUGCUGGAGAAAGGAACUGGAUAACUGUUCCAAGUAACUGCAGAAUAAUAACAAGGACUUUGUUGGCAAAUUGAAGGUCAGGUGGAGGAGCCAUGCAGACACUGAUCAAUAUUUGCUGCAAGUGACAGAUGUUCACUAUGUCUUGCUCAAAAUCUAUGAGAGAAGGAGGAAGUGUCCAAACUGCUCAGGAAAACAGGAUGAGGGAUUUUGUUCUGCUCUUUCUUAAGCCAGAGAAUAUAGAGGUGAAAAAUGAAUGCGUUGUAGCCAAAUAACAGACAAGCAUCUUUAUUACUCUUUUUUGUUAAGAACUUUUGUUAUUAGGGGAAGGUGAGAACUUUGGGAUGCCUCUACCCAUUUUUUCAUGAUGACCUUUACUAACUCAGCUUAGCUCUGGCAUGACACACCUUAAGUGCUGAGUACACUUAUCUUUGGAAAGGAAAGCAGAAAUCACUCCUGUUUUCUGGAAAGGACACGGAGAUCCUUGGGGACCUACAGGAAGUCACUGCUACUCGUAUUAACCUUGGUAUGCACUUGAGGUACUAGUAUGAAUAUAACAUCUAAAUAUUCUUCAGAGAUUUUUUUCCUUCUGCAUAAUUUCUAGCAAAUUUCCUUGUGUGUUGCUUUCCUUGUCCAAGCCUCCUCUGAAGCUAGAUACUUGCAUGUAAGUGAACACAAAUUGUCACAAGCAUUCUUCCAGUUCUUUUGGUGCCUUCUGGUUCCUGUGCUAAAAGCCAUUCAGAGGAGCCAUGAACAUCUCCUUCCUAUUCUCUUUUUCUAUUUUGAAACAUUUUUUCAUGCCUCACGCAGCUUGCAGGGCUCAUGUUCGUCAUCAUUAUGGUGCCUCGAUUGCCAGAGACAAAUUGCAAAUAUUUGUCAUUUCUACACAGAACACAGUGCCAAUGAUAAUAGGUUUCCUUUUUCUCUCAAUUUUGGGAUGUCAUUACCAUCUGCUUCUUCAGCCUGGGCUUCCCUAGGAAAUUGUUGUUCCCAGGGAAGGCAGUGGUGUUCAACUAAGUAGGAUGCCUCCCACUUCACGUGACCUUGCUAUAGAAAGCCUGUGCUGCUGCUGGAAUGGGAAGGAGAGAAGAAGAUCCAGAAUUGGUGAGAGCUGACCAGCAACAGGAUUCAAGCUUUUAGUUCUAUGUGCGUGUUGGCAGGGACGUUACCUUGAAGUGUGUUUCCAAGAGAUGAGGAAAAAGCCAUACCAAAAAAGGCAGUGGAUAGCUCAGAAAGGAAUUCAGCAUUGCACAGAAGGGUACUGAAACGUAUUUAACUGCAGAAGUAAAUGAGAGACAUCAUACUGACAAUCAGGAAGGUAGCAUUGCCCUGCUCUGUGUGAUAGUAAAAUAGUAAAAUACUGAAAUGGAAUGCAGUCUUUGCAUUUACAUCUCUGAUAGCACAUGCAGGUCAGCACCAUGUGCACUAGAAAGGAACAGACUUCAGAGCAACUGGCCCAAAUCCAAGAAUUUUAUACUGGUAAAGAUUUGAUUUUAAGCGUCUCAUAAUCUCAGCAUUUUGAAAUGCUUAAUUUUGGUAAUUUGUCUCAUAAAAUGUGAAAGGAGCUAAGAGCGCAGCGUGCUGAACGUAGCAUGAGCCAAAGUAAAUCUGCUAUUGCUUUUUCUCUGCUUUCACUGUUAACGGCAAGCCUGCCCUGCAGUCCGUGCUCCCUUUAACUCUUGCAGCGCCUCCACACUCUUGGCAUGACAGGGAGAGCAGCAGCCGAGCAGCGUGAGGUGAGGACGUGGGUUGGGUUCUCAUUUGUGGAAGACCACAGUGACCAUUUUGGGGAAGGUAGUGCCAAGCUGGUGGAGAUAACUCAUGGUUCCUGCAGCUCAUUUCCACUGUCACUGAUGGCAUCCGGAUAUUGCCUGGGUUAGAGGUGCGGGGCUGCAAUCUAAUACAGGACAUGAUAGCAGGAUUUUGCUCUGCAGCAUUUUCAAGCUCACCAUCUAUCUGGAUUUCAAAAAGCAUUUUUGUAACCUCAGUCUUUGCAUUUCAGUGUAGAAGUUUGAAAAAUACAUUAGCUCUACAACUCUCCAUAUGAAGAGGCAUCAUUUGACACCUAUUGUAAACCCCAUUACUACAUUACAACACUGGGGUCCUGUGGUGAUUUGUAUUAAUCUUUUCCAGCUCACCCAGUUCUGGGCAUUUGGAAAGGAAAGUCUUGGAGGUCUCGCUCACACAUUUCAUGCUCUUGUAGUCCAACCGGUAUUUGCUUUCUGCUGGCACUGUUCCCUCUCUCAGGAACGCCUCUCCCUUGCAUUCAGUUUGACAAAUCAUGGUACUUAAGGCAUGUCACAGAACUGGGUAUGGAUUUACUACACACAACCUAUGGUACAGUAUCAGGGGAAGAAGAGAGGCUGUGCUCUGGAGUGUGCAAAUUUGGCUGGUGGGGCUGGAAUUGCAAAGGAACCCAUCCGCAUUCAGCUAGAUUUAAUCCAGAUGAUCUUGUAACAGAAGAGGGCACUCAGGGGCCAGACAGCAAAUAAACUAUAUCAUGAUAUGCGAUGAGGGAAAAUCAUUGAGAGGAUGGACAGAAUCCUCGUCUGAGCUCAGUGCAGCUUAUAGCUGGUAAGCCUGGGUUUCAUUCAUGCAAAACGAAAGCCCAGUCACUUUAAAACAAUCCCUGUGAAUACAUGCGAGACAACUCAUCCAAAGCAUUUGAAGUAACAUCCCUGUGUAGACAGGACUUCAUUAUGCUACUUGUUAUUGUUUUCAGUGAGUCCUCACCUGCUCUUUUAAGUUCAACAUACAUUACGAGAGAAAAUUAUUGCUCAUUAUUGUUGUAUUCCCUAAUUGCCUUCUAUAUUAGUGUGUUCAAAGGAAUGUAUUUUUUCUCUUUGCCCUUCUCUGCCUGCAUCCAGCAACACUCAGCAUUUUCUACAGAGCUCAGAAUUGCUUGCAUUCUUAUAAAAAUGCCUCAGCCAUAUGGGAUUUGCUGAGAGUAAAUUAAAAAGUGCAUGACUUGGGGAAACGCAAUCCUUUAUACUGCACUGAUUCCAUAGUCACGGUAUAAACACGAAGUGUUAGUAUAAAGAAUUUCCACAGUCUUUCAGCAUUUGAGUCCACGUUCUGCACAGGCCAGGAGUGGCAGGAGCUCUCCUGUCAAGGAGUGUGAUGUUGCACUAAGGGGCAGGGGCCAGCUUCUGUGCUUGUAAGUAUAUUGCACCAGCCAAGCUCUAGCUGCAGCCUUGCAGUUUUCCAGGCAGCUCUGCUUCCUUUAGGCAAAGGAACGUGAGCUACUGCAGCUAAUUUUAUGCUAUAUAAAUAAUGUUGAUAGAGAGACAAGCCUGAGAUUAGGUAGGUAAGAUAGCUAAAAUAAUACAUUAAAUAGGAAAGUUGAAGCAUUUGUUUAUCAGAAAUAUGAGUAUGUUCCUCAAGGAGCUGCAGGAGCCUGACUGUAAUGAUGACAAAUGAGAGAUCCCAGAAUAAUAAGAUCAGUCUUGCAUAUAGGCAGAGCCACAACUGAGACUCUGUGUGACAUAGAUGUGCUUGUUGUACAGAGAAAUUGGGUCCUUAGAUUCUGAUAGAGAACAUUGCCUCUUCUUAACAGCCUGCACUUGACGUGCUGACAGAGCAAAGGCUAUGCUGUGUGCCUGGUGCUACUCUGCUCGUCUCCUUCUGCUCCACCUCCCCUUGAGCAUCUCUUCUGGUGGCACAACAGUACUGGACCGAGAGCCACUGAGAGCAGGGACCAUCUUCUGUACAGCACUUCCACUGCUAAUGUCUUGUGUUACUCUUGCCUGAAGCACUUCAUACAAUCUCUCUCUUUGCUGGGCCUUAGAGAAAGCAGGGAAUUUGCUGUAGAACAAGAUGCAUGGGGUGAUGUGUAAGAGGCGGUUUUGCUAUAGGUUACCUGCACAUAGGCAUCUUUGUUGCCCUUCAGAGGUAUCCAUUCAGCUCACCUGUGGGCAGGCACUUUCCUCACCCUCCUGCACAGAACCAGCAGAAUAAGAGCAUCAGGAGCCAGUGGGCAGCCUGCUCCUUCCCACUUUGGUAAUGAGACUGUGCCAAAAUUAGGGACAUGAGGGAAGUGAGCUGCUAGUUGCUUUCUUCUUUAGUCCUCUUUGCAGAUAGGAAUCUAGACACUGGACUUUCUUCCUUCUGAGUAAUAUAUACCUUUCCUCAUUCUUCUGAGCAGUUUAUACCUUGACUCACUGCUGUCCUACUUCAAAGGUGCAGAAAUCAGAGGGAGAUCUCUCACACCUCACUGGAAUGAAGUUGUAUCUUCUCACCUCAGGAUGGGUAAACAGUAUGUCAUCUCAGCUGAGAUCCUAAUGAAGAUGAGUGAGUUAAUGUUUUGUCUCCAAGAUCUAGUUAAAAUACAAGCUUCUUGUUUCAAUUUAGUAAGAGAAAACACCAAUGUGGAUUUCACUUUAAAACAGCUGAAUAUGUACAGUAUCAAUCUAUUGAGAUAAAAUUAUUUUCAUGGAAAGUCAAAGAGUAGAAACACAGAAUGCAGGCCUCAAAAUCUGUUGAAGUGAAACUGCUAGAAGACUAACAAUGGUUCUGUUAUACGCCUAUACAAAAGCAAACUUGAUGGCCUAAUUGAGUUUUAUUAAGCGCUGCCUUUUAAUUGUUGAUGUGACUGAACAAUCAAAACUGUAAAAGGCACUUGGCUAAUAUUCUGAGUAGAGUAAAUCCUUAUGAAAACUUGGUUAUGACACAGCAUCCACCUUUAAAUGGUACCUUUCAUCUCAGAUAACUGAGGAAUUAAGAGGAUAAAUAGAGCCGCCUUAGGUUUUCAUGACUUGUCUGACUCUUUUAUAGGCCUUUACAGUUCAGUAGUUGUGUGUGUCAUGAGGCAAAGAGUUCAUGAGGGAAGUCUCCAAGAAAUUCAGCACGCACAGGUUCAAAAGGAUGGUUGCUCUAAGCCCUCUUUGAAGCUUUCAUAGUGAGCCCUGGCAGCACAGCCUGCAGAGAGCUUGUGGCUGCAGAAGAGCAGACCGACAGCACUACUGUCUGUAAGGUGUGCAAGUCUGAAUUUGGUUAGCUUGUUCAUGUUACCACAUGCAACAAAAGGCAACCUGAAAGGUGAUUCCUCCUGUCCCACCACAGUAGUGCUCAUGCUGGCCGGCUCUGGCAGGUAAGCUUCCUCCAGCCAUGAUCUGGUUGAGAAGGAUGUUGGCAGAAGCAUUGUGCAAGAACAUACAUCACACUCAGUGACACUUGCUCUGUGGGGUGGUUGAACCUACUUAUUUGUCUCCCUUUAGUUACCCCCUUAAUUUUUUAUAUCAACAAUUAAUACUAUUCCGUAAUUUUCUCCAAGUCUAUGUUUGCACUGUAUUUAAAGAGAUAAGGAGGUAAGUUUUUUUGUGAACAAGGAGUCCUAGCAAUAAAGAAAGCUAUUAUAUCCUGAGGGAGACUAACUCCUCAGAAAGUCCUUUUUUUCUGGGGUUAUGCAUGAAAGCCAGGCCUGGAGUUGGAUCCUUUUUAUGGAGCCAUGAAUAAAGAGAAAAAGAGAAAACAUUCAGACGAGAUCAGUCUGUUGAGAGUGCUGGGGCUAUAUGACUCACUGAAUUGACUGAGUAGGUAAAAAAAACAAACACACAAAAUAUUAAAAGAGUAGUUCAGAUCAAUACAAAUAAAACCCCAAUUUUGUUCUCACUGAGAUCAGGGGAGAAAAAAAAAAGAAAAAAAAAAAAGUUGGGAAUAUAGAUUAGCUUGGUUUAAAGACCUGUAAGGUAAAAAAGGGUUAUAGCUGGUCAGGUUCACGGACCUGGUGGAAGUGGUGUCACCUUUCACAGGUGGCUCAGGCUUUCAAGAGUUCUCCAAAGUAGUAGGAACUUAGGUUACAUUUCUUCAUGAUUUAGGCAGAAAGUGAAUUAGUAGUUGAGUUUCACAUGCCUAGAGCUCCUGCUCAGGUAAAAAGAGUUGCUUUGGAUUGUGCUUUUCUCAAUUAUUUUGGCUGAGGCGGAUGCUUUUCCCCAAAAGAAUGACAGACUGAAGCAGAAUGCAUGAGAAAUAUUCUUUACCUAGUGGUCAGAUUACUCAUUUGAAUGGUGGAAUUACCUCUAAGGCUCCCUGGCAGGUUCCAGUUCCAUAUCCAGUGAAUGUUUAAUUGUUUUUGAGAAAUGAAGUGGCACUAAGACAGAUUGAGAGUGUACAUGGCUGAAGUUGCCUCCAACCUUUAUGGAAGAUAGGGAAUAUGUGUUAAACUGAGGAGGAGGACACAGUAAGCCUCUCACAAUCUGAACAAAUGAUCACAACUCCUCCAGUGGAAGGGAGACAUUAAUCCUUCCUCUAACACUAGCUGGAUCUUAGCGCAAAAUUGAUACUCACAUUUCUCUGAAGUUCUGCAAAAUUACUUCGAAACACAUUUGCCAUCUGCCAGGAUAAAACAGUGUCAAACUAAGCCACCCAAAAUACGCAAUCAAAUCUUCAUUACAAAUAAGGCCACCUCAUUUUCAGGUGUUUUACAUAGCUUAGCGUCCUUGUGUAGUUAUAUUCUAAAUACACCUACAAGCAAACCUUUUCUUGGUGUCUCAGAAUGAGUCAGUACCUCAAGCUUCUCUUGGGCUGGACUUCACCACAACUUCUUGUCUCUGCAGACAGACUAUGCAUUAAAUAAAAGAGUGUG